RNAcentral lists this ribosomal RNA (484 nucleotides) under uncultured bacterium. Its description in RNAcentral is "partial 16S ribosomal RNA". It matches the Rfam family "Bacterial small subunit ribosomal RNA", at positions 30 to 507 of the family's 1533-position model. The record is from RNAcentral.
AUUGAACGCUGGCGGCAGGCCUAACACAUGCAAGUCGAGCGGAUGAAGGGAGCUUGCUCCUGGAUUCAGCGGCGGACGGGUGAGUAAUGCCUAGGAAUCUGCCUGGUAGUGGGGGAUAACGUCCGGAAACGGGCGCUAAUACCGCAUACGUCCUGAGGGAGAAAGUGGGGGAUCUUCGGACCUCACGCUAUCAGAUGAGCCUAGGCCGGAUUAGCUAGUUGGUGGGGUAAAGGCCUACCAAGGCGACGAUCCGUAACUGGUCUGAGAGGAUGAUCAGUCACACUGGAACUGAGACACGGUCCAGACUCCUACGGGAGGCAGCAGUGGGGAAUAUUGGACAAUGGGCGAAAGCCUGAUCCAGCCAUGCCGCGUGUGUGAAGAAGGUCUUCGGAUUGUAAAACACUUUAAGUUGGGAGGAAGGGCAGUAAGUUAAUACCUUGCUGUUUUGACGUUACCAACAGAAUAAGCACCGGCUAACUUCGUG